AUUAAUAUAGGUUUGAAUAUAUAGGAACGAUGAACUAUUACUAACCGGUCAAGGAAAUGAGAAGGUUACGUGGAAGCAUGGCAUGGAAAGUAUAGAUUGGUUAAGAAGAAGUCAAACAUAGAUAUGUGUAUGUGUAAAUGGAAGUGAGAAAGGUUUCGGGGACGAAACCUUAUUUAAGGGGGGUAGACUUGUAACGCCCCAAAACCCAAAUGUUUAUAUCGUCGUAUGUUCCUAUAGGACAUAACAUGAGAUAAAUAACUAGGCUAUUGAACCUAGUUAAAAGGUGUAGCUAAGAUUAAUAAAGGUAGUGUCAGUUAUGUUUUAAAAGGCAAACCCGAGGGACUAGAGUGGAACAAAUGAAAGUUGACUACUAAUUAAAAGGUCAAUACACACACAAACACACACAUACGUGCGUGUUCUUGAAGCUUCAGGAGCUCUCAAGAGCUCCAAACCCUAGUUCCACUAAAUCAUCAAAUUAAAGGGGUGAAUCGAAGCCCAAAUUCAAGAAGGAGCACGGAUUAACGAUCACCUUCAUGAGGGGAUCAUAAGGAAUCACAUUAGCAUGGAUUCAAGCAUGAAAGGCUAACGAGUCAAGAGGAGACAAGGAAGCGGCUACGAACACGGAUGCACAAGGUUAUACGGAUAAUGGGCGGAUUAUCACAAGAAUUAGAGAUCGAAGACCGAGUCACGAGAUAGAUUGUACGGGAAUAAUUAAGUAUGUACUAUUAGUAAACAUGACUUGUAUUUUAUCUUUGUAAAAGAUACAUUUUUAAAACG
Helianthus annuus (common sunflower) is the source of this 777-nucleotide long non-coding RNA. RefSeq lists it as uncharacterized. The record is from RefSeq and is a predicted model, not a curated record. The transcript is spliced from 3 exons. Lineage: Eukaryota; Viridiplantae; Streptophyta; Magnoliopsida; Asterales; Asteraceae.